GUGGGGAAUAUUGGACAAUGAGCGAAAGCCUGAUCCAGCCAUGCCGCGUGUGUGAAGAAGGUCUUCGGAUUGUAAAGCACUUUAAGUUGGGAGGAAGGGAAGUAAGUUAAUACCUUGCUGUUUUGACGUUACCAACAGAAUAAGCACCGGCUAACUUCGUGCCAGCAGCCGCGGUAAUACGAAGGGUGCAAGCGUUAAUCGGAAUUACUGGGCGUAAAGCGCGCGUAGGUGGUUCAGCAAGUUGAAGGUGAAAUCACAGGGCUCAACCUGGGAACUGCCUCCAAAACUACUGUGGUAGAGUACGGUAGAGGUUAGUGGAAUUUCCUGUGUAGCGGUGAAAUGCGUGGAUAUAGGAAGGAACACCAGUGGCGAAGGCGACUACCUGGACUGAUACUGACACUGAGGUGCGAAAGCGUGGGGAGCAAACAGGAUUAGAAACCCGAGUAGUCC
RNAcentral lists this ribosomal RNA (450 nucleotides) under uncultured bacterium. Its description in RNAcentral is "partial 16S ribosomal RNA". It matches the Rfam family "Bacterial small subunit ribosomal RNA", at positions 354 to 796 of the family's 1533-position model. The record is from RNAcentral.